RNAcentral lists this ribosomal RNA (758 nucleotides) under uncultured bacterium. RNAcentral's name for it is "bacterial SSU rRNA". It matches the Rfam family "Bacterial small subunit ribosomal RNA", at positions 8 to 796 of the family's 1533-position model. The record is from RNAcentral.
AGAGUUUGAUCAUGGCUCAGAAUCAACGCUGGCGGCGUGCCUAACACAUGCAAGUCGAACGAGAAAGUGGUAGCAAUACCAUGAGUAAAGUGGCGCACGGGUGAGUAACACGUGACUAACCUACCCUGGAGUGGGGGAUAACUGAGGGAAACCUUAGCUAAUACCGCAUAAUACCCACGGGUCAAAGGAGCAAUUCGCUCUGGGAGGGGGUCGCGGCCGAUUAGUUAGUUGGCGGGGUAACGGCCCACCAAGACGAUGAUCGGUAUCCGGCCUGAGAGGGCGCACGGACACACUGGAACUGAAACACGGUCCAGACUCCUACGGGAGGCAGCAGUGGGGAAUUUUGCGCAAUGGGGGAAACCCUGACGCAGCAACGCCGCGUGGAGGAUGAAGUCCUUCGGGACGUAAACUCCUUUCGAUCGGGACGAUUAUGACGGUACCGGAAGAAGAAGCCCCGGCUAACUUCGUGCCAGCAGCCGCGGUAAUACGAGGGGGGCGAGCGUUGUUCGGAAUUAUUGGGCGUAAAGGGUGCGUAGGCGGUUUGGUAAGUCUUAUGUGAAAUCUAUGGGCUCAACUCAUAGACUGCAUGAGAAACUGCCGGGCUGGAGUGUGGGAGAGGUGAGUGGAAUUUCCGGUGUAGCGGUGAAAUGCGUAGAUAUCGGAAGGAACACCUGUGGCGAAAGCGGCUCACUGGACCAUAACUGACGCUGAUGCACGAAAGCUAGGGGAGCAAACAGGAUUAGAUACCCCUGUAGUCC